RNAcentral lists this ribosomal RNA (567 nucleotides) under uncultured marine eukaryote. Its description in RNAcentral is "SSU rRNA". It matches the Rfam family "Eukaryotic small subunit ribosomal RNA", at positions 614 to 1185 of the family's 1831-position model. The record is from RNAcentral.
UGCGGUUAAAAAGCUCGUAGUUGGAUUUCUGCUUGGAACGACCGGUCCGCCCUCUGGGUGAGCAUCUGGUUCGGUCCGGGCAUCCUCCUGGGGAACGUUGCUGCACUUGACUGUGUGGUGCGGUACCCAGGACUUUUACUUUGAGGAAAUUAGAGUGUUUCAAGCAGGCAGUUGCCUUGAAUACAUUAGCAUGGAAUAAUAAGAUAGGACCUCGUCCCUACCUUGUUGGUUCGUAGAGAUGGGGUAAUGAUUAAUAGGGAUAGUCGGGGGCAUUCGUACUUAACUGUCAGAGGUGAAAUUCUUGGAUUUGUUAAAGACGAACUACUGCGAAAGCAUUUGCCAAGGAUGUUUUCAUUGAUCAAGAACGAAAGUUAGGGGAUCGAAGACGAUCAGAUACCGUCCUAGUCUUAACCAUAAACUAUGCCGACUAGAGAUUGGAGGUUGUUAUUCAUAUGACUUCUUCAGCACCUUAUGAGAAAUCAAAGUCUUUGGGUUCCGGGGGGAGUAUGGUCGCAAGGCUGAAACUUAAAUGAUUUGACGGAAGGGCACCACCAGGAGUGGAGCCUG